RNAcentral lists this ribosomal RNA (253 nucleotides) under uncultured bacterium. Its description in RNAcentral is "partial 16S ribosomal RNA". It matches the Rfam family "Bacterial small subunit ribosomal RNA", at positions 524 to 776 of the family's 1533-position model. The record is from RNAcentral.
UACGUAGGGUGCAAGCGUUGUCCGGAAUUAUUGGGCGUAAAGAGCUCGUAGGCGGUCUGUUGCGUCGGCUGUGAAAACCCGAGGCUCAACCUCGGGCCUGCAGCCGAUACGGGCAGACUAGAGUUCGGCAGGGGAGACUGGAAUUCCUGGUGUAGCGGUGAAAUGCGCAGAUAUCAGGAGGAACACCGGUGGCGAAGGCGGGUCUCUGGGCCGAAAUUGACGCUGAGGAGCGAAAGCGUGGGGAGCAAACAGG